This 1171-nucleotide ribosomal RNA is filed under the name marine metagenome. Its description in RNAcentral is "bacterial SSU rRNA". It matches the Rfam family "Bacterial small subunit ribosomal RNA", at positions 320 to 1520 of the family's 1533-position model. The record is from RNAcentral.
UGAGACACGGCCCAAACUCCUACGGGAGGCAGCAGUGGGGAAUCUUGCACAAUGGAGGAAACUCUGAUGCAGCGAUGCCGCGUGAGUGAAGAAGGCCCUUGGGUUGUAAAGCUCUUUCGUCGGGGAAGAAAAUGACUGUACCCGAAUAAGAAGGUCCGGCUAACUUCGUGCCAGCAGCCGCGGUAAUACGAAGGGACCUAGCGUAGUUCGGAAUUACUGGGCUUAAAGAGUUCGUAGGUGGUUGAAAUAGUUGGUGGUGAAAUCCCAGAGCUUAACUCUGGAACUGCCAUCAAAACUUUUCAGCUAGAGUAUGAUAGAGGAAAGCAGAAUUUCUAGUGUAGAGGUGAAAUUCGUAGAUAUUAGAAAGAAUACCAAUUGCGAAGGCAGCUUUCUGGAUCAUUACUGACGCUGAGGAACGAAAGCAUGGGUAGCGAAGAGGAUUAGAUACCCUCGUAGUCCAUGCCGUAAACGAUGUGUGUUAGACGUUGGAAAUUUAUUUUCAGUGUCGCAGCGAAAGCGAUAAACACACCGCCUGGGGAGUACGACCGCAAGGUUAAAACUCAAAUGAAUUGACGGGGACCCGCACAAGUAGUGGAGCAUGUGGUUUAAUUCGAAGAUACGCGCAGAACCUUACCAACACUUGACAUGUUCGUCGCGACUCUAAGAGAUUAGAGUUUUCGGUUCGGCCGGACGAAACACAGGUGCUGCAUGGCUGUCGUCAGCUCGUGUCGUGAGAUGUUGGGUUAAGUCCCGCAACGAGCGCAACCCUCACUUUUAGUUGCCAUCAUUAAGUUGGGCACUCUGAAAGAACUGCCAGUGAUAAGCUGGAGGAAGGUGGGGAUGACGUCAAGUCCUCAUGGCCCUUACGUGUUGGGCUACACACGUGCUACAAUGGUAUCUACAACAGGAAGCAAGACGGCGACGUCAAGCAAAUCCUUAAAAGAUACCUCAGUUCGGAUUGCACUCUGCAACUCGAGUGCAUGAAGCUGGAAUUACUAGUAAUCGUGGAUCAGCGUGCCACGGUGAAUGCGUUCCCGGGUCUUGUACACACCGCCCGUCACACCAUGGGAGUUGGUUCUACCUUAAGGCAAGGUUUUAAACCCUUGACCACGGUAUAGUCAGCGACUGGGGUGAAGUCGUAACAAGGUAGCCGUAGGGGAACCUGCGGCUG